Long non-coding RNA from Poecilia latipinna (sailfin molly), 1287 nucleotides. RefSeq lists it as uncharacterized. The record is from RefSeq and is a predicted model, not a curated record. The transcript has 2 exons. Lineage: Eukaryota; Metazoa; Chordata; Actinopteri; Cyprinodontiformes; Poeciliidae.
GGCUCCAAAAAUAUAGAAAAAGACAGGACAAAAACAGAGCAAGCAGGGCAGACAUGGGCAGGGAGGGAGCAGAGGGAAAAAGCAUCCGCCUUCAUCGAGAGCAAGAGAGUAAAGGAACCAGUAGCUACCAGUAGAACCAGUAGGAACCAGUAGGAACCAGUAGGACACAAAGGACACGGAAGACAUGGCGCACCGCCUGGGGAACCGAUGGAGAAGAAAACAUCAUCAUCCAGUUCUCCAGACGGCGCCUCUGGGACGCGUUUUGGAAAAAGAAGAGUCGAAAUUCUGUCAAGAUGCUGGAGUUAAAUUAGCCGAGGAUCUAAGGAAGGAGGAUCUCACUGCCAGGCGGCCAUGUGGCCUCACAUCAGCUAAUAGGAAAGCAGGAGACGGUCACACAUCAGCCAAUAGGAAAGCUCCUCCUCAUGGUUACAGAAAUGGCACCUCAUCCAGAUCUGAAGUCUGUUUGUAGUAAACAGACUUCAGAUCUAUGGGAUCAUUUUCAAAAGAGGAAUAAUUUAUUAGUUUUCAACAUAAGAAAACUUUUUCUUUCGUUCGUAAUUUUUAAUUUACUCAGAACUGUUUCUUGUUGCUGUGAGGUUCCAGCUAAUGUUUUCUCUGAAAACCAAUUAAUUAUCUUUCAUUUCUCUCAACCGAAGGCUCCUAAAGACGAUGGAAAACGAAAAGCCAUUUUUCUUGUUCGUGUUUUUUACAGGAAACCCAGUCUGCCCUUCAGACGGUUCUUCUGGACCAACCAGGGGACAGACGGAGUCCUGUGGCUCCAGCAGAGCUGCAGGUGGAGCAACGAUCUGCUGGGCCAGAUUGUUUGGUCUUUGGUUGGCUGGAUUCAGAAGGAUGUUAUUGUCCUGGUGAAUGUUUAUAACAAUCCCACUCAGAAUAAGCUUUUGUUGUCUGACAUAUCUAAUGUUAUUGCAGAGUACAAAAACAUUUAGAUACUAACUUUGUUUUAGUUGGAGAGUUUAAUAUGGCGCCUGAUGUUUGGCUGGACAGAUGUCCAUUAAACCAAUAACCGUCAUAAUGGAGCCCUGCUUGGUUUCUAUGACAACCACUCAUUGAUAGAUAUAAUCGAUCUGCAGCUUCAAUGCCUCAGAUUGAUAUUUCAGAGGUUUUAAUCUGAAAUGCUCCAUUAACUGAUUGCUGAUCGAUCAUCUUAAAUCAGAGACAAAUAAAAACAAGAGGAAGAUCGACUGCAACCUGAUCAGAGUUAAUUCUAGAAAUCAGGUGGGAAUUUUUUACAUUUAAAGUUAGAAGACUAUUAAAUUUAAUAAG